GGAUGAACGCUAGCGGCAGGCUUAACACAUGCAAGUCGAACGAGACCUUCGGGUCUAGUGGCGCACGGGUGCGUAACGCGUGGGAAUCUGCCCUUAGGUUCGGAAUAACUUCGGGAAACUGAAGCUAAUACCGGAUGAUGACGUAAGUCCAAAGAUUUAUCGCCUUUAGAUGGGCCCGCGUAAGAUUAGCUAGUUGGUGGGGUAAAGGCCUACCAAGGCGACGAUCUUUAGCUGGUCUGAGAGGAUGAUCAGCCACACUGGGACUGAGACACGGCCCAGACUCCUACGGGAGGCAGCAGUGGGGAAUAUUGGACAAUGGGCGAAAGCCUGAUCCAGCAAUGCCGCGUGAGUGAUGAAGGCCUUAGGGUUGUAAAGCUCUUUUACCCGAGAUGAUAAUGACAGUAUCGGGAGAAUAAGCUCCGGCUAACUCCGUG
This 434-nucleotide ribosomal RNA is filed under the name uncultured bacterium. Its description in RNAcentral is "bacterial SSU rRNA". It matches the Rfam family "Bacterial small subunit ribosomal RNA", at positions 27 to 507 of the family's 1533-position model. The record is from RNAcentral.